GUGCUAUUUUUUUUGAGUAGUUUUAUACCUAAUUUUCAUUUCCUCCUAACUCUCUCUUUCCCUAACACAUGAAUCUUCCCAACAUGCACACAACUUCAACUCCUUUAUUUCACUUCAUAGUUGUUGCAGCUCCUUAUUCCUUAGCCAUUGAAUCUUCUGUGUUAAUUAUUAGACCUCACUUGUCAUCAUUAUCUCCCGU
Molecule: long non-coding RNA, 199 nt
Filed under: Carica papaya (papaya)
Lineage: Eukaryota; Viridiplantae; Streptophyta; Magnoliopsida; Brassicales; Caricaceae
Description: long non-coding RNA (CPAP_LNC013095)
Source: RNAcentral